UACGGGGGGAGCAAGCGUUGUUCGGAUUUACUGGGCGUAAAGGGCGCGUAGGCGGUCGUGACAAGUCACUUGUGAAAUCUCCGGGCUUAACUCGGAACGGUCAAGUGAUACUGUCGGACUAGAGUACAGAAGGGGCAACUGGAAUUCUCGGUGUAGCGGUGAAAUGCGUAGAUAUCGGGAGGAACACCAGUGGCAAAGGCGACUACCUGGCCUGUUCUUGACGCUGAGGCGCGAAGGCCAGGGGAGCAAACGGG
RNAcentral lists this ribosomal RNA (254 nucleotides) under uncultured bacterium. RNAcentral describes it as "partial 16S ribosomal RNA". It matches the Rfam family "Bacterial small subunit ribosomal RNA", at positions 524 to 776 of the family's 1533-position model. The record is from RNAcentral.